This 1149-nucleotide long non-coding RNA is filed under the name Cricetulus griseus (Chinese hamster). RNAcentral's name for it is "lncRNA (ENSCGRG00015032431.1)". Lineage: Eukaryota; Metazoa; Chordata; Mammalia; Rodentia; Cricetidae. The record is from RNAcentral.
CCAGCAUGUUCCAAUCAUUAUUUCAAGUGUACAUCAGCAAAUGGACAAAAAUCUUUGAGGUUACUGGAUACAAAAAUGCAUAGCAAAUAAUUCUGUGUCCUCUAGAUCAAGCCCUCUGGGUCCAGGUGCCAUCUGCAGAAUGCAGGGGAGGGCGGCUGUCUCUCUGUGACACAAUUUCCUCUGUAGAAGGCAGGACAGACAGUCUUACUUAGGGCACAGAUGAAAGGAGAGAACACUGGUUUAAUGGCUUUUCUCAUUGCUGUGAUCCAACCCCUACCAAAAGUAACUUAAGUGGGGAGGUGUGUUCUGCUCGAGGCUCAGGAGAGGCUACGUGACAAGGAAGGCAUGGCGACAGGAAUGGCUUGCAGCUUUGGUGACAGAAAGGUACUUAGAUUCAGGGAGAUCAGCAAGAGAGGAGGGGGGGAGGGAAAGAGGGGAGAGGGAAUGCUGGAGCUAAGAUGACAGUCUGGUAGUCUUCCCUUUUUAUUUAUUUAUUUAUUUUUUUAUUUUUAGUUUUUUCGGUCUAAUACCCCAGCCCAUGGGAUAGUGAAUCUUCUUUCUUUGGUUAAACUGUUAGACCCCUGAAAACUCAAGUAUCCGGGGUCCCAGGCCACGUUUGAGGUCACCCCAAUCACCAGGCAGAUUCGAGAGCUUGCUGCAAACUGCACGAGGCUUUAUUGUAAUUUAACGAGCUAACCCCAUGUUAGCUCGGGCCUUUCACCCACCCGUCAUGGUGGAUGGCCAGAAAAGACGGCUCCUAGGGGCUCCCAAAAGAUCUUAUAGGGCAGCGUAAGGGGAGUGUCUAGGGGUACACACAGGCUUACGAUUGGUGUGCCUCCAGCCUCGGAGGGCUUGCCCUCACACCAAUCCUGAACCUGUGUGUACCCCUAGACACUCUCCAUGCUGCUCUAUAAGAUCUCUAUGCAGCCACUUUAAACUGUCUUUUGUAGUCAUCCUCCAUGGCGGGUGGAUGAAAGACCCGACCCGAGCUAACAUGGGGUUAGCUCGUUAAACAACAAUAAAGCCUCAUGCAGUUUGAAUCAAGCUUUCGACUCAGCCUGAUGAUUGGGGUGGCCGUGGUUCUGGGCUAAGAUCCUGGAAGCCUGAGCUCUCCAGGGGAGUCUUACAAGAGCUUGGGUCUAGAACAGC